Molecule: long non-coding RNA, 107 nt
Organism: Gallus gallus (chicken)
Lineage: Eukaryota; Metazoa; Chordata; Aves; Galliformes; Phasianidae
Exons: 4
Source: RefSeq, a predicted model, not a curated record
AUUUUCCAGUGUUAAAGGAAUGCUGUCUGGAUGUACGGGCUCUCGUCAAAUGCAGAAAUCUAAUACUAGCUUAUCACUGAGAAAAUAAAAUUAAGUGUUGGAAAGGA